RNAcentral lists this ribosomal RNA (1729 nucleotides) under uncultured archaeon. RNAcentral describes it as "16S ribosomal RNA". It matches the Rfam family "Archaeal small subunit ribosomal RNA". The record is from RNAcentral.
CUGGUUGAUCCUGCCGGAGAUCACCGCUAUUAGAGUUCCACUAACCCAUGCGAGUUCCUGGGUAAAACCAGAGCGAACGGCUGAGUAACACGUAGUUAACAUCACUUUAGGUGGCGAAUAACCUUGGGAAACUGAGAUGAAUACGCCAUAGUCAAUUAUGCCUGGAACGGUUUAUUGACCAAAGCUUCGGCGCCUAAAGAUUAGACUGCGGUGGAUUAGGUAGAUGUUAGGGUAAUGACCUGACAUGCCAAUAAUCCAUAGGGGCCAUGAAAGUGGUGGCCUCCAGAUGGAUUCUGAGACACGAAUCCAGGCCCUAUGGGGCGCAGCAGGGGGGAAAACUCCGCAAUGCACGAAAGUGUGACGGGGGAACUCUAAGCGAAAGUGCACCGGGGGAACUCUAAGUGCCAGCACACCGCUAGGGCUUUUCAUUAGUCCAAAUCGCUAGUGGAAUAAGUGGGGGGUAAGACCGUUGCCAGCCUUUUUAGGAAUUGGCAAUGCCCAAGUCUUAGAACUGGAUGCCGCGGUAAUAACGGCUCCACAAGUGGUGAUCACGUAUAUUGGGUCUAAAGCAUUCGUAGCCGGUUUGUUAAGUCUUCUGUGAAAUCUGGCAGAAAACUGUCAGGCGUGCAGGAGAUACUGGCAAGCUUGGGACCGGGAGGAGCCUGGAGUACUUUUAGGGUAGGGGUAAAAUCCUGUAAUCCUAAAGGGACUACCUGUGGCGAAGGCGCCAGGCUAGAACGGAUUCGACGGUGAGGAAUGAAAGCGAGGGGAGCAAAGGGGAUUAGAUUGACUUCAGUAGAAUUUUUCGACUGAAGACCUAAAUACCCCCGUAGUCCUCGCUGUAAACGAUGCCCGCUUGGUAUUGGAAGUUGCUAGACUUCUUCCAGUGCCGUAGGGAAGCCAUUGAGCGGGCCACCUGGGAAGUACAGUCGCAAGGCUGAAGCUUAAAGGAAUUGGCGGGGGAGCACACAAGGGGUGCGGUUUGCGGUUCAAUUGGAUUCAACGCCGGGAACCUCACCAGGGGUGACAGCAGUAUGAUGGUCAGUCUGAAGGGCUUACCUGACGCGCUGAGAGGUAUUGCAUGGCCGUCGUCAGCUCGUGCCGCGAGAGCUUUUACUAGUCUUUCUUAGGAAAGGCUCCGGUAAAGGUGUCCUGUUAACAGGUCGUGGUGCAGCAUAAAUGACAUCACCAUGGAAGCUUUUUCACCAUUUUCAAGUUCGCAAGAACUUGAAAAGCUUGAAAUCCGUAAGGAUUUCAUGACACCCUAAGUAUUAUAUAACAAGUAAACAAAAGCAAGAGAGCUUGUACGUAGUAAUACUCAGGCUUCGGAUAAAUUAUUAAAAGCCUUUAUUUUCAAACUCGAAAGAGUUUGGAAAGCUUGGAAAUUCUCGAAGAAUUUCCAUGAUCUGACAGAUAGUCAGGUAACGAGCGAGACCCACGCCGUAUGUUGCCAGCUGUUUCUUCGGAAGCGGCGCACUCAUGCGGGACUGCCCGUGCUAAAUGGGGGGAAGGAGUGGUCAACGGUAGGUCAGUAUGGUCCGAAUCCCCUGGGCUACACGCGGGCGCCAAUGGCAAGGACAAUAGGAUGCAACUCCGAAAGGAGGAGCUAAUCCCUGAACCCUUGUCUCAGUACAGAUUGAGGGUUGCAACUCACCCUCAUGACGCCGGAAUCCCUAGUAGGCGAAUGUUAGCAUCUUUCGUCGAAUACGUCCCCGCUCCUAGCGCACAC